CCUGUGAUCUGCAGGUCCGGAGAGACGCACAGCUAAGAUGUCAGGACAUCCUGGAAGCUGGGAAAGGGUCUUGCCAUCUCUAAGCUGGACCUGGUGACCUUUUUGGAGGGAAAGAAAGAGCCCUGGACUGUGAAGAGUGAGGAGACCAUAGCUGCACAGCCAGAGAUGGGGUUCCAUCAUGUUUUCCAGGCUGAUCUCAAACUCCCACGGUCAAGCGAUCUGCUGGCCUCGGCCUCUCAAGAUGUAUAAUCUCAUCCCUGAACAUUUCUGAUGGUGUGAUUAUGACAUGUGACUUUAUCUGGCAACAGAGUGAGUUGUUGCUCCCGCCUGAGCCCAGCCCCCAGAAAGGAUUGUGACAUAUCGUUGGACCCAGAAUUGAGGUGGAAUUGUGACAUAUAACUUGGCCAAGCACACAGAUGUAAUGGUGUGGUGACUCUCAUACCUAGAACUGGGACCUGUGCAGGAUUGUUAAUUCAUUACUGGACAUUCCUGUGGGUGUGAUUGUUACAUAUGCCUAUGUUCAGCACCCGAGUGAUUUGAUUUUGCUGCCUGGUCUCAGUCCAAAUGUAAGAUUGUGAUUUAUCGCUGAAUCCAGCACCUCGGUGAUUUGACUCUCCCUUUUUUUGUGGGAGGGAUCCUGCAAAUUUUGGGUAUUGUCAAUUAUUGCUGAAUCCUGUACCCAUGUUAUGACUCUCCCAAAUGUGCCUUACCUGUUGUGGCACAAUAUAUCACAUUAGACAUUGUUAAAUAUUGUUGGGUUCAACACCUGGGUGAUGGAUGUAACUUUUUUUCUGGGCCUGCCUACAGGGGACCUUGUGACAUAACUCAAUGCCCAUCAUCAUGGUAAUGUUACUCUCUUCUCCUGCCUGAUCUCUGCUCACAGAGAAAUUGUGACACAUCACUGGCCUAGCAUCUAGGUGAUGUGACUCUCCUCUUUUUUUCAGGCUCUGCAUAUUUGGGUAUUGUGACAUAUUGCUGAACUCAACACCUAAGGGAUGGGAGUCUCCUACCUAGGCCCUUCCUACAGGGGACAUUGUGACAUGUCUCUGCAUUCCUCAUCCAGGAGAUGUGACUCUCCUUUUCUGCCUACACCCUGCCUACACAGAAAGUUGUGGCAUAUUGCUGUGGUCAGCAACCAGAUGAUAUAUUUCUCCUGCCUGGGUCUUUAUUACAGGAAAGAUGAUUGACAUAUUACUGGGCCCAGCAUCCAGAUGAUGUGACUCUCUUCUUCUGUUGGUCCUUGCUUACAGGGAAACUGUAGCAUAUUGCUACACCCAACACCUAGCUUAUGUGAUUCUUCUUUUAGGUUUGCCUUCAGGGAACAUUGUGACAUAUUGCUGGGCCCUGCACUGAUAAUUUGUGACUCUUCUGCCUGUGAUUUGCCCACUUGGGGCAUUGUGACAUAUUGCUGGGUUUAACACUCAGGUGAUGUAACUUUUAUGCCUAGGCCUUGCUUACAGGAGGCAUUUUGAAAUGUCUUUGUGGCUGGGCAUGGUGGCUCAUGUCUGUAAUCCCAGCGCUUGGGGAGGCCAAGGUGGGCAGAUCACAAAGUCAGGAGUUCGAGACCAGCCUGGUCAACAUGGUGAAAACCUGUCUCUACUAAAACAAAACAAAACAAAACAAAACAAAACAAAA
This is a long non-coding RNA of Homo sapiens (human), 1635 nucleotides long. NCBI's taxonomy places the organism in Eukaryota, Metazoa, Chordata, Mammalia, Primates, Hominidae. The record is from Ensembl.